This 64-nucleotide transfer RNA is filed under the name Exallonyx sp. ZJUH_2016014. Its description in RNAcentral is "tRNA-Cys". Lineage: Eukaryota; Metazoa; Arthropoda; Insecta; Hymenoptera; Proctotrupidae. The record is from RNAcentral.
AAAUUUAUAAUUUAAAAAAAAAAUAUUAAAAUGCAAUUUUAAAAAUUCAAUAUAGAUAAAUUUU